RNAcentral lists this transfer RNA (66 nucleotides) under Henicus brevimucronatus. RNAcentral describes it as "tRNA-His". Lineage: Eukaryota; Metazoa; Arthropoda; Insecta; Orthoptera; Anostostomatidae. The record is from RNAcentral.
AUCUAAAUAGUUUAAUAUAAAAUAUUGACUUGUGGUGUCAAUGAUAUGAUAGAUUCAUUUUGGGUU